RNAcentral lists this long non-coding RNA (3563 nucleotides) under Gallus gallus (chicken). Lineage: Eukaryota; Metazoa; Chordata; Aves; Galliformes; Phasianidae. The record is from RNAcentral.
CUGCUUCUGAGGCAGCUGGCUUUUCAGGCAGCAACUGGGACAGAUUUCCUGAAGAAUUUGCUUCUAAUUAAUGGUAACACCACUUUUUUUUUUCCUAAUUAAAAAAAAAAAAAAAGGCUUUGUACUGUCCCUCUGUCCCUCUGAGCAGAGGGUGAGUUUCCCAUCUUCAGAUCAGAUUAGGUGUAUCUGAAGGAUACUUGCUUGGAAUGGCAUAUCAUAAGAGGUGGUAACUGAUAAUGGGGGUAAGUCCUGUGUAAGGCACUAACAUAACACUGACUAUUGUACUGUCAGAUGAAUGACAGGCAAAGACAAUAUGAGCUGUUGAAAUACAUGUGGCAGAGCAUAGCUUGCUGCUAGUUUUUGCUGUGUUUGUGAGGAAACAUUGAUAAGCUUUGCACUGCAUUCCUCUGAAGUUGCUGCAAGUUUUGCCUGCUAUCCACUGCUAUGAGGAAAAUCAAAGGAAAAUGAAGCCAAGCCACUAGAGGAUAUGGCUAUUUAUUUGUUGUAAGCUAGCCAAUGAUAGCUGGGAAAAGGAGUACAUAAAAUAUGGAAACUUGCUCCAAGAAGCAACCAACAUAUCUGCUGCUGUGAACCCAAGAAAACAUGUCCUUGCCACUUGGCCAAACCUUACAAAGUUCUUGGACUGGAUUGAGGCUCUCUGUGAGGUAUUCAUGCUAGAAGAAAAAUAUUUUAGACCACUUUUAAAAACUCAGACCUAGCCUGCCUCACAAAUUAAGGGGGGUGCUGCAUGGUUGGCAGUGUUGGCACAAAGUGCACUAACAUGGGGAGAGCUUGGGUUUUGCACAGGAGCAACACAUCACUACAGAAGAGGUUCCUUUUUAUAGUGGAUCUAGGAACGACAACUGUGGUACAGCAUAUGGAUGACCCGCUUUGUGUUUCAUCACACAGGAUGAAAAAGCCAGCUGACCUUCUGUAUCCAGUCAAACUCCUGCUUCAGAUGAUGUUAUGUCCACUUUAAAUACCAAGCUAUUUUUUAAGCAUCAUGUCUCCUAGGCGCAGCUGCUCUGCCUCUGGUAUCAGGAAACUACAGCCCCCAGGAACCUCUGCUCUUAUAGGGCUGCUGCUCUGUACUAUAUAGGACCACUGUGAUUUGUAGACCCUCAAACACUAACAUAGAAUCAUAGAAUAUCCCAAAUUGGAAGGGACUCACAAAGGCCAUCGAGUCCAACUCCCGGUUCUACAUAGAACCAUUCAAAAUUCAAACCCAGUGGCUGAGAGCAUUGUUCAACCGCUUCUUGAGCUCCAGUAACCUGGGCCUGUGACCACUUCCCUGGGGAGCCUUCUGGUGAAAAACUUCAUCCUUAUACCCAGUCCAACCUUCCCAUGACAUAGCUCCAUGCUGUUCCUUCAGAUUCUGUCACUGUCAAAAGAGAAAAGAAAUCAGCACCUAUCCCUCUGUUCCCCUUCUGAGAAAGCUGGACACUGCAAUGAGGGCUCCCUUCAGACUCCUCUAAAGAAAAUGAUUGUGCUUUUAUUUGUUUUCUUUUUUUUAUCAUUUUUUUAAAUUUUUGUUGGGGUCUAUGUAAACAUGCAGACUGUACUUGUGGGACAGAAGGGGAUUUUGCUCCUUCUCCAAUCUCUCUUGCACAGUCAAUGUCUUCAGCCUUCAUCCUGCACCAUAGCUGAAGGUUUUUGCAUGCUAUGCACAUCAAAAAUGCUCUUGAAAAGAAAGCAACAUGGCAAAUAUGGUGUAAGUAGAUGGAAGUGAGCAGACUAAGUCAAAUCCAACCCAUCUUCCAUUAGUAUAAUUCAUGCUUUAAUGAGUAAUAAAUGAGGUGAAUUAGUGAGGUCCAGUGCUUGCCUUUGGCAGGAUUGCUAGUCCUAUAUGUCAAGAUCCACUAGAAAGAAUAAGUUUCUCCUUUUUGCAAGGGCCAGUUUAGCUCCACCCUUGACUUAGUUUUGCAGGUUUUGCUGCCAUCAGUUCCCUUUCCUCAUUUUGUCAGGAAUCUCACAAGGCGCUUCCUGAGCUUUCCCAGAUGUGCAAAAGGGAGCAACUAUUGUCCUUUUCAUAACAGGGAUCCAUACACUUUGAGCAUUUUGUUACACUGUGAGCAAACCUGCCCUCUGUCUGGGCUUCUGCCGUGACCUUGCUUACUUAUAGGGAAAAAUUCUGUUAAAUGUUUGGAAAAUUUUUCUUCUGUAAUGUUUUGCUUUACAAGGCGCAUCAUAUGUAUUCAUAAAGUUUGUCUUGCAUCUAAUAGUAACUUUUCACAUUAUUCCUCCAUGCUUUUUGUGAACAGACCUUGUUGUCAGCUCCUUAUCACUGUCAGGGUUCAAAUGUCUGUGCAGGAACUUUCUGUCUGCUUCAAGUUGAAUGUUGUUAUAUGAACCUAAGUUUCAGCAAGUAGAGCUCAGAUGUUUUCAACAAUGAACUUAGAGAAACACAACUUGUUGCCUUGCCAAUGCUUAAAAAAUAUAUAUAUAUUAUUUUUUUUUUUUAAAGUCUAGCAACUAUUUAACUAAUGCAGUCAGGUGGUAUCCUGCUGGUGUGGGCUGUGUUGCUGACUUCCUACAGAAACUGCAAAACAGUGCAAUGUGUAAGAUGCAUUAAUGACAUGCCAGGUUACAACACUGAGAGCAGGUGUUCUCAUGCCCAUGACUUUGUUUCUGGUCCUGUGUUGCAGCCCACAGAACAAUCUGACUUUCAAAAAUGCAUGACUUUAUGGUUCACUAGCUUCCUGAACCUAGGGGAAGGGAGAUUCCAGUCCAAAAACAUUCACAGAUUUCAUACAGUGAUCUCUUUUACAAGGAAAUAUUUAGAACACAGAAGUCUAUACAUUACCAGGGUGGUAAAGUGAGCACAAGUGUUAUGAUCAUUGCUUUGGAACAGCUUUUAUUAUCGCUGUUUUGUGUCAGCAGAAAAAUGAAGAACCUCAGAGUAGCCAGUGAAUUUUCCUCGUACCAGUACUCAAAUCUACGAUGGCAGUUCUUGCACCUCACAGCCCUUUCUGGCAUCAAAGCAAGGAAAGGGAUAAAAAACAGGGAUGGAAUAUAGGGUCAGAGCUUUAAACAAAACAGGGAGCAUAAAUGCAAAGCACAACUCUAGAAUAAAACCUAGACAGACCAGUAAGGUGUCAAGGCAGAGACAGGCAUGGAACAUGACAGGAACACGUAAUACCUGGGAAAAAAUUGGUAUGCAGAAGAUCUGAGGAAAAGAUACAGAGGCCUCUUCUGCCUUGAAAUGCUGGCACUACUGUUGUGGUUUGGUGAUUUUUUGUUAUCAGUUUUGCACAUCAGAACAUCAUGUGAACCAGUGGAAGUUCUGGUUCCGUUUACUGCCUCUUAUGUGCAUUUUGAGUAUUCUGAUGGGAAGGGAGGGGCAGCAUGCCUGGAGGACUUGGCGUGAAGAGGAAGUGAGGUGGAGCUCUGGACAGGACCCCGGGCGUCUCUCUCUCUCCUUCGUGGCUGGCUCAGCUCGCUUUGGAGAAGGGCACGUGCUUCCGUCGCACUUUGGGUACUCUUCUCUCUCUCAUUUUGUUUGAUUUUGUUGGAUUUAGUAAAUUACCGUUCCUCCUCAGAUCGUCGCCCGUGUGUUCCUUUUG